Molecule: long non-coding RNA, 1180 nt
Filed under: Lathyrus oleraceus (garden pea)
Lineage: Eukaryota; Viridiplantae; Streptophyta; Magnoliopsida; Fabales; Fabaceae
Description: Pisum sativum (pea) long non-coding RNA (PSAT_LNC024162)
Source: RNAcentral
ACAAAGUAUGUUACAUUUCCAACAAACUCAGUAUUGGAAAAAAGCUCAAGGAGCUGCUCUACUGAUGUAAAUAAAUCCAACUUAAAGAGUCAACCAAAACAUACGAAUUAACCUCUUUCUUUAAGUUGUACCAAACAAGUUAUGAAUAGGUUCUUUUAGUAGCAGCAGCAAAAUUGAAUGAAACUCAAAUAAUAAUAAAAAAACACAUGAAUUCAAAUAGAAGAUUGAACUUGCCACUAAUACUAUAGUAAUAAAUAACAAUAAAAGUGAUAAAAUUUAACAGUAAUAUUUAAAAUGCUAACAUCGUAUGCAGAAAAAAAGAGUAGUAAAUAAUUAUGGUCUCUUUUAAAUAUGAACAGUAAUAAUCUUGGUCCAUUAGCAACUAUAUGAUUUAAUGGAAACUAGAACAACACAUCGAAACCAAAAGUCCAAUCAAUAACCAGCAGCAAUAUAAGUUCAUUCGAAAGAACCCGAAAUCAUUACCGGAAGGCAUAAACAAACUUGAAACAGAGAGUCGGUUUAUUUUCGAUACUACUACCUUCGAAGCCUUGCAAAAUCGUUUCAUCAAUGGUUCGUGAGGGAUCACCAAUUUCGGAUCCUGUUACUUCUGUUGAGAAUCUGUGGAGGCGCGAACUGCUAUUGCUGCGAGACAAAAACGGAAGCAACACCAAAUUGUAUCAAAAACGGAGUUUAGUCCAGCGUUACGUUUAUUGACAUGAUGGUAGUCUCGUGAAAAGGGUGGCGGUCGAGCGGAGAUGAAGGUUUAUGCGGCGGAACAUUGAGUAGGUCUAAGGGAGAAGAGUGUUUGGGUUGAGAAGUGUUCGGUGAUGGUAGAUCCGACAAAGAAUGGCGGCGGAGGUAGAGGUAUUGUGUGGGGUUUCGCAGCGAUGAAGAAGAAGAAACGAACAGUGGUUCGAAAUGGAAGGUGGGAGGUGCGUCGUCGGAUAUCGUGAUUUAUUGAAGUGCGAACGGAGAUUGUGCAGUGGUUUCUAUGUUGUCGGUUGCGAUUCAAAGUUAGUUUGAAGGCGGAGAUGGGAAGAGUAAAGGAUAGGCGGACUUGUGAAGAAGAGGUUUUCCAAUUUUUGGAAAAAGGGGAAACAAUCUCUCUUCAGCAACGUACAGAGAGAGUAUUUUUAUUUUUUCUAUCCCAAAUCACCUCCCCUUCUUAGGUGAGUCAAGC